This 469-nucleotide ribosomal RNA is filed under the name uncultured bacterium. RNAcentral describes it as "partial 16S ribosomal RNA". It matches the Rfam family "Bacterial small subunit ribosomal RNA", at positions 28 to 507 of the family's 1533-position model. The record is from RNAcentral.
GACGAACGCUGGCGGCGUGCCUAACACAUGCAAGUCGAACGAUGAUCCCCCGCCUGCGGGGGUGAUUAGUGGCGAACGGGUGAGUAAUACGCGAGUAACCUGCUCCUGACUCUGGGAUAAGCCUGGCAAACGGGGUCUAAUACUGGAUACCACUUCCCGCCGCAUGGCGGGGGGUGGACAGGGUUUUACGGGUUUUGGGUGGGCUCACGGGCUAUCGGCUUGUUGGUGGAGUAAUGGCUCACCAAGGCGACGACGGGUAGCCGGACAGAGGGAGUGAGCGGCCGCACUGAGUCUGAGGGGAGGCACCGGCGGCGACGGGUGGCCGCAGUGGGAAAUAUUGAACCAGGAACGGCAGCCGGGUGAAGAGGGGCCGCGUGUGGGAAAACGGCCUUCGUGUUGAAGAAAUCUUUCGGCAGGAAAGGAGCCAGGAGUGACGGUACCUGAAGAAGAAGCGCCGGCUAACUACGUG